AUACAUGCUGUGAUGGAAUAAAGAUGCAUUUGAUUGCCAAAGAGAGCUGGUGGCAGGUGGAAAUCAGCGCAUGACAUGCAUGUAUAACUCGUUCCGGAGCUUCAUUGCCGAAAUCUAAGUAGGCAAUGACGUUGACUUCACGUUACAGUCAGGGUAUAUGGGGAAUAUACCCACUGAGGGCAUACAUAAAAGUAUGUUGAAACAGGGUGGUACCACGUUGGACAAUCCCUUCGUCCCUGCG
This 241-nucleotide non-coding RNA is filed under the name Acetivibrio straminisolvens. Its description in RNAcentral is "Clostridium straminisolvens T-box sequence". It matches the Rfam family "T-box leader". Rfam says of the family: Uncharged tRNA acts as the effector for transcription antitermination of genes in the T-box leader family. T-boxes are found upstream of many aminoacyl-tRNA synthetase genes and some amino acid biosynthetic genes usually in Gram-positive bacteria. The record is from RNAcentral. Lineage: Bacteria; Bacillati; Bacillota; Clostridia; Acetivibrionales; Acetivibrionaceae.